CCAAGGCCAGUGGCGCAAGGGUGAGUAAGGCGACGGUAACCAACCCCAGGAUCGGGUGUAGCCGCGGGAAACUGCGGGUAAUCCCCGGCGACGUCCGGGAGGGGCAUCCCUCCUUGACCAAAGCUCCGGCGUCGUGGGACGGGCUGUCGUGGUAUUAGGUUGUUGGCGGGGUAACGGCCCACCAAGCCUGUGAUGCCUACCGGGCGUGCGAGCGUGGCCCGGCACACUGGGACUGAGACACUGCCCAG
This 248-nucleotide ribosomal RNA is filed under the name uncultured bacterium. RNAcentral describes it as "partial 16S ribosomal RNA". It matches the Rfam family "Bacterial small subunit ribosomal RNA", at positions 86 to 334 of the family's 1533-position model. The record is from RNAcentral.